Molecule: long non-coding RNA, 299 nt
Organism: Camponotus floridanus (Florida carpenter ant)
Lineage: Eukaryota; Metazoa; Arthropoda; Insecta; Hymenoptera; Formicidae
Exons: 3
Source: RefSeq, a predicted model, not a curated record
AAAAUCCCUAAAGACGGUUAAAAAUAGGGUUGGUCAAAGACUAAUGUAUAUUCCUACAUAUAAGGAAUACACUGUGUUACAUGAUUUCUUUACACAGUUUGAGGAUAUAAAAAUAUUUGUAAAGAAAAUUCAUGAAGGAUAAUGAGCUUGUUUGUCAUCAUGCGAUAAAAGCAUGUUGCGAGAUAAUUGGCAUAAAGGAUAUGUAUGCCAAAGUACAAGGAGGAAUGUAAAAGCAUUCUUUAUUGGUUUAUUGCAACAGUGAUACAGAAGCAACAUUACAAGUACUAUAUUUACAGAUA